AAAUUGAAGAGUUUGAUCAUGGCUCAGAUUGAACGCUGGCGGCAGGCCUAACACAUGCAAGUCGAACGGUAACAGGAAGAAGCUUGCUUCUUUGCUGACGAGUGGCGGACGGGUGAGUAAUGUCUGGGAAACUGCCUGAUGGAGGGGGAUAACUACUGGAAACGGUAGCUAAUACCGCAUAACGUCGCAAGACCAAAGAGGGGGAC
Molecule: ribosomal RNA, 206 nt
Filed under: Escherichia coli
Lineage: Bacteria; Pseudomonadati; Pseudomonadota; Gammaproteobacteria; Enterobacterales; Enterobacteriaceae
Description: partial 16S ribosomal RNA
Rfam family: Bacterial small subunit ribosomal RNA
Source: RNAcentral